RNAcentral lists this ribosomal RNA (253 nucleotides) under uncultured bacterium. RNAcentral's name for it is "partial 16S ribosomal RNA". It matches the Rfam family "Bacterial small subunit ribosomal RNA", at positions 524 to 776 of the family's 1533-position model. The record is from RNAcentral.
GACGAACCGAGCGAACGUUGUUCGGAUUCACUGGGCGUAAAGGGUGCGCAGGCGGCCGUGUGUGUGAGGCGUGAAAGCCCGGGGCUUAACCCCGGAAUUGCACCUCAAACUACACGGCUAGAGCAUUGGAGAGGGUAGCGGAAUUCACGGUGUAGCAGUGAAAUGCGUAGAUAUCGUGAGGAACACCAGAGGCGAAGGCGGCUACCUGGACAAUUGCUGACGCUCAGGCACGAAAGCGUGGGGAGCAAAAGGG